RNAcentral lists this ribosomal RNA (253 nucleotides) under uncultured bacterium. Its description in RNAcentral is "partial 16S ribosomal RNA". It matches the Rfam family "Bacterial small subunit ribosomal RNA", at positions 524 to 776 of the family's 1533-position model. The record is from RNAcentral.
UACGUAGGUGGCAAGCGUUGUCCUGAAUUAUUGGGCGUAAAGGGCGCGUAGGCGGUACCCUAAGUCAGAUGUGAAAACCCGAGGCUUAACUUCGGAGGUGCAUUUGAAACUGGGGAACUAGAGUGCAGGAGAGGUAAGUGGAAUUCCUAGUGUAGCGGUGAAAUGCGUAGAUAUUAGGAGGAACACCAGUGGCGAAGGCGACUUACUGGACUGUAACUGACGCUGAGGCGCGAAAGCGUGGGGAGCAAACAGG